This is a small nuclear RNA of Ochotona princeps (American pika), 164 nucleotides long. RefSeq annotates it as U1 spliceosomal RNA. The record is from RefSeq and is a predicted model, not a curated record. The transcript has a single exon. NCBI's taxonomy places the organism in Eukaryota, Metazoa, Chordata, Mammalia, Lagomorpha, Ochotonidae.
AUGCUUACCUGGCAGGGGACCUACCAGGAGCAUGCUGGUGGUUUUCCCAGGGUGAGGCUUAUCCAUUGCAGUUAGAAUGUGCUGGCAUCUGUGAUUUCCCCAAAUGUGGGAAACUCGACUGCAUAAUUCGUGGUAGUAGGGGACUGCAUUCGUGCUCUCCCCUG